UGCGUAGGCGGCUUAAUAAGUCAGUGGUGAAAGGCUGUGGCUUAACCAUGGAAUUGCCAUUGAUACUGUUGAGCUUGAAUCAGGUUGAGGUUGGCGGAAUGUGACAUGUAGCGGUGAAAUGCUUAGAUAUGUCAUGGAACACCGAUUGCGAAGGCAGCUGACUGGACCUGUAUUGACGCUGAGGCACGAAAGCGUGGGGAGCGAACAGGAUUAGAUACCCUGGUAGUCCACGCCCUAAACGAUGCUUACUCGUUGUUUGACACGCCGUCGAAAGAUGGCAGUUGAGUGACUUAGCGAAAGCGAUAAGUAAGCCACCUGGGGAGUACGACCGCAAGGUUGAA
This 341-nucleotide ribosomal RNA is filed under the name uncultured Lewinella sp. Its description in RNAcentral is "bacterial SSU rRNA". It matches the Rfam family "Bacterial small subunit ribosomal RNA", at positions 568 to 898 of the family's 1533-position model. Lineage: Bacteria; Pseudomonadati; Bacteroidota; Saprospiria; Saprospirales; Lewinellaceae. The record is from RNAcentral.